RNAcentral lists this unclassified non-coding RNA (387 nucleotides) under soil metagenome. RNAcentral describes it as "partial contains 5.8S ribosomal RNA, internal transcribed spacer 2, and large subunit ribosomal RNA". The stretch from base 1 to 122 matches the Rfam family "5.8S ribosomal RNA", at positions 35 to 154 of the family's 154-position model. The record is from RNAcentral.
GAUGAAGAACGUAGCGAAAUGCGAUAAGUAAUGUGAAUUGCAGAAUUCAGUGAAUCAUCGAAUCUUUGAACGCACCUUGCACCCUUUGGACUGCUCCAAAGGGUAUGCUCGUUUGAGUGUCAUUGUACUCUCACACUCUCUGAUCCUUUGGAUUUGGGGAGCAGUGGACUUGGGUGCUUGUUGCUUCCUUGUGGCUCACCUGAAAUGCAUCAGUGCAUCUCUCGAUUGGACAUAGUACGGCGUGAUAAGUGUCUUCGCCGGCACCUCAUAUGAGGGUGGCCGAUCGGGAGCUCUGUGCUUUCAAACCGUCUUCGGACAACGCUGACAACUUGACCUCAAAUCGAGUAGGACUACCCGCUGAACUUAAGCAUAUCAAUAAGCGGAGGA